This is a non-coding RNA of Elaeis guineensis (African oil palm), 2403 nucleotides long. The record is from RefSeq and is a predicted model, not a curated record. Lineage: Eukaryota; Viridiplantae; Streptophyta; Magnoliopsida; Arecales; Arecaceae.
GAGCACCAGGAGUUCGGGCCUUCUUUGGAGUUUGUUUCAUCCUUGAAGCUCCACCCUCACCGACCACCUCAACCUUGUCCGCAGCUUGUAGAUGGGCAGCAACACCACCCUCAACUCCAGGUCACUAAUAAUCUGAUACCAAGCAAAAUCAUAACAUCAACGUUUCUGCUCCCACCGUCUUUUUUCCUGUUAAAAUAAUGCUACCACCAGCGAAGCCGAGCAACCGCGCACUAACGCAUCUUAACAUCACCGCGAAGUACCACACUGUCUCCGAACCUGCAAAGGACGAGCCUUCACCGGUAAGAAAAGGAGAAGAAACGAGGAAUAACUGGCAGCGAACCUUACCGCUACCUGGUGGGCGGGGAACCGACCGGCACUUGAGGGUGGUGAUGGGAUUUAACUUCUGACGCGCCGAACCCUCGUCUGUUGCUCUUUUCAGACUCGCGCGACGUGGGGAGCGCAGGCGAUUUAUAAAUUUCCAGGUUAAGAUUAAAAAAAGUGACCGUUGUACCGACGGGUGAAGUAGAAGGAGAGGAAAAGAAAAUCGACCCCGCGCUUCGUCCUCCUCCAAAUCUGGAGCGGUGGCGUAGAAAGGGACGCGGAAUAAAAGAAGACGAGAAAGGAAAGAGGGUUGGGGGAGGGGGGUGUGAGAGGAUGUGGGAGAUCUCUACGCAUUCCGAUAAGAUGGACACGCCGGAGAGGAGCAAGAUUGGGAGCACACCGCUUUCUACGUUCCAGGUGACGGGGAUGUCUGGCGUUAUGUUGGGGUUUGGAUGCAAGAUUGGGUUUCACUUCAUUGGAAUGGUGAAAGUUGUGCUGUUGUGGGUGAUCAAUUGGUUCUCACAGGGUGGCUUGGAUGGCUCGCGUGUUCUUUGUUUUUCUGCCCUUCUCGAGGUGAUCUCGUUUCGCGGCCCUUCUUGCGAAGUCUCGCCUUUCUUGACGAUUUUAUUCUGUUUUAAUUUGGGUUUUUUCGUUUGUUUCUUUAGAUUUGGAGGGGACACAUAGGUCUGGCGUUAUAUUGGGUUUGGAUGCAAGAUUGGGUUUUCACUUCGUUGGAUCGGUGAAAUUUUUGCCGUUAUGUGUGAUCAAUUGGUUUUCUCUUGGGAUGGCUCGUGUGUUCUUUGUUUUUCUGCCCUAUUUUUUUGGGGCGUUCUAGAUUUUUGUUGUUGUUUGUGGCAAAAGAUUUGGUUUUGGGGUUCGUUUCGAUGCUAGAGUUUGUAACUGGAAGUUGUGGGUUGUUGCUUGUAGGGUUUUGAUUUGCUUAGCUUAAAGUGUUGUUAAUAAGAUUCCCCCUUGAGGAGGAUGUUAUGUAUGUUCUAGGAAAAGUGAACUUUGGUGGUUUUUGUUUUUGGUCUCUGCUCGUACUCUAGGGUUUAAUUUCCUGUUCCUUUCCUCCUGUUUGCAUUCUAUGAAUUGGCGUUUUAGUUCAGAUGACCAGUUUCAAUGGAGAUCUGCAAGGGUUUGAAUUUAAUGUACGCUCCUACUUCCCUUCUUCCGACUUCUAGGAUCCGAGAAAUUAACUUAUGGAUCUGAGUAUUCCCUCUUAUUCUUAACAAUGAGGAGAAAUUCCAAAUGAUGCAGUAUUUUGUUGAGUUUUUGCAGGCCUUGGUGCCUUUUUUGUUCUUCCUCCACUGAUGCAGCCCAGAGCAUGCCUUGGCUGGUCUUCGUGUGCGUCAAAUUGCUUGUCCUUCUAUCUACCUUUAACAAUACAGCUUGAUUAGGAUUCUCCUGUCUUCAACUUCAUCAAUAGUUUGUCUCCUAUCCGGCCUGUCAAAUCUGUAGAUUCACUACACAGUGUGCCAUCAUAUCUGCCUUCUAUUUCUUCCAUCUUUACUUCACCACAUGCCAAUUUACAAAGGGAACCAAAAUUUUUGAUAAGGGGCUUGCAAAGGGCUCAGUGAGAAAUUAGGAGAUUCUUCAAAGCUUGCACAGGACCUUAACCAUUCACGGAAACACCAUCUGAUGAGUCUUUUGGUCCCUUUGUCCCAACUGCUUCACAAGAUCCUUCAGUCAACUGUAGCAAAGAAAAUGGGAAGGAGGAUGAAAUAGAUCAUAACCCGUGAAUUCUCUUAAACACUUGUCAGACUCAUGUUGCGCUGAAUGAUCAGAUCAAGAACACAGCCACUGGAACAAGUGAUCACAUUCCAUAAGGCCACAAGGUGGAUCUUCUUAUCAGAAAUCAUGGAUAUAGUAUUUGACAUUUUCUCCCCCCACACUUAUUCCUUGUCUUUUUUUUUUUACCCCCAUUUUAAUUUUGUUAUUUCAUCCUUUGACUAGGAUGUGUCAUAUGUUCAAACAAAUUGCGUAUUUUGGUGAGCAAUUUUUGUUUGGGAAUUUAACUCUCGAGACACUUCUUCUCACUCUGCUAUGAACCUGAUAUAUUCAGUAUUUUUAGUGGACUUA